AUGCAUCUAUUUGACAGCCCCAGAGCAGUUACUGUCUGCUAAGGUUUCCACUACAGAUGCAAAAAAAGCGUCCCUGUGCUUUCUCUCUGACUGCUUUCUGCUUUCUGUGGCAGCCGAGAUCGAAUAGAGGAAUACAGGA
Molecule: small nucleolar RNA, 139 nt
Organism: Cercocebus atys (sooty mangabey)
Lineage: Eukaryota; Metazoa; Chordata; Mammalia; Primates; Cercopithecidae
Source: Ensembl